CAGUCCUAGGGACUGUACAAAACUGUGCGCCAAGUUUGUUCGUCAUCAUUUUACAUGUUAAUCGUGUAUAAAAAUAAUGAAUGUGAUAAUAAUAAAAGAUUUAAUAACUUUUCGUGAGUAUUAGGAUAUUGACGCGAUACUCGAACCAAAUGUAUUAUAAAUAUAUCAUCGACGCGUCUGGACUGAGAGUGAUUUAUAUUUACAUAUCAGCUGCUCUCUGUAUACAUAACGCUGAGUGAUAAUUUCGUAGCUUUAAAAGGGACUAUAAGUGACGAUAAUUGGAUAAAUUAGAGAUUAAUUCAAUUACUUUUUUGUGUAAUUAUGGAGGGAUCAGAAGAACCUUCAAGUCUUCAAUCAAUUUGUCAUGUUCGUGCAUCUGAGCUUUUUCCGAAGCAUACUCAUUUUGAAAGUGACGACCCAUCUUUAAGUAUACCAUUUACGCCGUUAAAUGGAGAAUUUUUAGUUGCACUAGGAAGAACUGCUGAUGGUACACUAGCAUUAUCUAAUUAUCGGUUGUACUUGCAAUUAAGCCAAGCGUGUUACAACAUACCAUUGGGUCUCAUUGAACAACUCGAAGUUAAAGAGAUUUUUUUUCUUCAUAUUUGCUGUAAAGAUGCACGUUCAGUGAGCUGUGCAUUUUCGACAAAUGAACAUUGUCUCGACUGGUUCAAGAGAAUCCACAAAGCUAUUUAUUCACGAAAAAGUAUUGAAGAUAUUUUUGCGUUUGCAUAUUAUGCAUGGUCUACUGAAGAAGGUAGAGACUAUCCAAGGCUUGGGAAGGAUAAUAAUUCGUUCAUUGCAACAUUUAAUUCUGAGGUUGAACGAUUGAAAUUCAAUCUUCAUGGAACUUGGCGUAUCAGUCACAUCAACAAGGAUUACCAAAUGUGUCCUUCCUAUCCUCCAGAAAUUUUAGUACCGGCUUGUAUUCCGGACAAAAUCUUAGAAGCUGUCGGAAAGUUCCGAAGUUUUAGGCGGAUUCCUGCUGUUGUUUGGCGUAACGUAAGAAAUGGUGCUGUGAUAGCACGUAGUAGUCAACCAGAAGUAGGUUGGUUAGGUUGGCGAAGUCCAGAAGAUGAAGACUUACUAAAAGCUUUAUCCGACGCAUGUUCAUAUGACAGAGGGGAAUCAACGAUGAUUGACUCUCCAAAUUCAUCAUCUAAUUCUAGUGAAGAUGCUGUUAGUAUUCAAAGUCCUACGCCAAAAAAAGUAUUGAUUAUUGAUGCAAGAUCUUAUACAACAGCGGUAGCUAAUCGUGCACGUGGAGGUGGUUGUGAGUGUCCAGACUAUUAUUCCAGCUGUGACAUUCAGUUUAUGAAUCUUCCAAAUAUACAUUCGAUAAGAAAAAGUUUUCACGCGAUAAGACAACUCUGUGCAUCUGAUGCUAAUUUACCAAAUUGGUUAACAUUAUUAGAAGGAACUCGAUGGCUACAACAUAUGUCUGAUUUACUGCAGGCUGCAGUUACUGUUGCAUCAGCUAUUGAAAGAGAAGGACGUCCAGUGCUUGUGCAUUGUACUGAUGGAUGGGAUAGAACGCCUCAGAUUGUUGCACUUGCACAAAUAUUAUUAGAUCCUUAUUAUCGAACUAUGGAAGGAUUUCAAACACUUUGUGAGAGAGAAUGGUUAGACUUUGGCCAUAAAUUUGCUGAUCGAUGUGGUCAGAUAAUUGGCUCUGAUGAUCCAAAUGAAAGAUGUCCAGUGUUCCUUCAAUGGUUAGAUUGUGUCCAUCAAUUAAUCGAACAAUUCCCAUGCAGUUUCCAGAUGUCUUCUACAUAUUUUGUAAAACUAGCACAGCAUACAUAUUCGCAAUUAUUUGGUACAUUUUUAUGUAAUACAAGACACGAAAGGUUGCGAUUAAGGAUAAGAGAGCGUACAUUUUCGGUGUGGCGUUUUUUAAAUUCAAGUUCAUUUAUAAACCAUUUGUAUUCACCGUCGAAAAAUCAGGUAUUGUGGCCAAAGUGUAAUGUACGUGACCUUGUACUGUGGUCUGAAGUCUACCUUGGAUCUAUGGAAAUGUCACUUAAUAAACCAGAUAAACAAAGAGUUCCUCUAAUCGAUAAUGAAAACAACGAUAAAGAUGAAACUCAUGGGCAAAUGACUAAAACACGAUCUUAUGGUGAUCUUAUUCAUCCACAAGAUCAUGCAGCUUAUCUUUACCGUCGACUUAGUGAUCCCAGUAUUUCUAUUGAAAAAAAGUUUGAUGCAAUUACUCUGGAAAAUGUAUCGGAUAAAGCAGAAGGUGAAAGUAUUGACGAUAAAAUUAAUGGCAUUUGUGAACCAAUAAAGGAGAAUGGUUCUCAAGCUAAUCAUAACAAUAAUAAUGAAAUACCAAAUAAUCCUUCAGUAGACAGUUCUACUGAUACUCUUAUACCCAGUAGUGAAACAGGUGUAAUAUCUGAUGGCAAAAAUGACACGUGUCAAACGUCUCUUUCUCAAGAAAAUGUGGCUUUUUGGGUAGAAAAUAAUACAGAUCAAGCAGAAUGUAAUCAUGUAAACCAUGAAGGGAGUGAAAUAAGUGAAACAAGUGUCCCUUUAACAUCAAGAACACCUAGCAGUAUAUGUCCUGCUUCUCCAAUACAUCAAGACCUUGUCAUAGAUAAUCCUGAUAGCCUUGACGACGUGGAUGGACUUCCCGUUCUUCAUUGUGAUAUACAGUUACGCAUUCAGCAAAUUAUUGUUGAACACAAGGUGAGAGAAGAAGCUUUGAGAAAAGAAUUACACACUACGCGGAUAGCUUUAAUUAAAAAAGUCUGUAAUAACCAUAAUGAAGAAAACGAUCGUACUGAUGAAAUUGGCUCAUUACCAGAUUCAGUAGGUAGUGCUGGAGAUCACGGCGAGUCUCUACCCUCAGAUAUGUCUUGGGAAGCAGUAGAAGAAAUUGGACCUGCUCCAACACUUUGGGUUCCCGAUCAUGCUGUCAAUAGGUGUAUGGGAUGUGAUACACAAUUUUGGUUAGGUCGACGAAAACAUCAUUGCAGGAGGUCUUUGUAAGCUCUAAGAACUCCAAAAAAUGAUGUUGCUGAAAUAAGUGUAAAAAGUAGUGAUUUCUGAGAUGCUGUGGUAAAAUUUUUUGCGCUGAUUGCUCUGAAAAUUCAACACCACUUCCUAGUGAGCAACUUUAUAACCCAGUGAGAGUUUGCAGUGAAUGUUUUUCUCGCUUACAUCAUCAUUCAAAUUCAUGUC
This 3180-nucleotide unclassified non-coding RNA is filed under the name Chelonus insularis. RNAcentral describes it as "myotubularin-related protein 3, transcript variant X2". The record is from RNAcentral. Lineage: Eukaryota; Metazoa; Arthropoda; Insecta; Hymenoptera; Braconidae.